Molecule: RNA transcript, 1890 nt
Organism: Nymphaea colorata (pocket water lily)
Lineage: Eukaryota; Viridiplantae; Streptophyta; Magnoliopsida; Nymphaeales; Nymphaeaceae
Gene name: acyl-CoA-binding domain-containing protein 3
Exons: 6
Source: RefSeq, a predicted model, not a curated record
CGCUCUCUAAUUGCCUCCUCUCUCUCCCCAUCAAUCGCCGUCCGAUCAAAAGGAGGUGGCGGAAUAGUCCCUCUCUCUCUCUCUCUAAAACUUCCUGCAGGAGAGGUACAAAGCGCAAGAGAAUAUGCUUUGCUCCUAGCACUUCUCACCCGACUUCAACCUCCCCUUCACUAUUUUCCUUCCCUUCCUUUCUUUCUCUUCCUCCCCACGUCUUGUUGACAGAGAGAGAGAGAGAGAGAUGGAGGUGUUGCAGGAGAUUUUUCUGACGGCCUUCUUCUCCCUCCUGUUCGCUUUCCUCCUCGCGAAGCUCGUCUCUGUGGCCGCGGACUCCGACAAGGAGACCCGGAAGCAGACCACGACUGACGAUGAUCUGCCCGCAGUGGUUGGAGAGAGGCUGUUCGGUCGUGCUAUGGAAACGGUCCCGGCGACGUUGGAAGGAGGUGAGAGCCGCCAGGUGGCGGCUCUUGAAUUCGCGAAGGAGGAGAAGGAGGCGGCGAGGUUUGGGGACGUUGUAUACGAGGGGGUGAGGGAGACGACGGAGACGGUGGUGGUUCGUGAGUUGCCGGAAUUCGGGACCGGAGGGGGUGAAGGUUGUGGUUUGCAACGGGUUUUCGAGGGGGGAGACGCGGAGGAGGAGAAGGGCGGGGUCGUCGCACUAGAGGAGGAGGAGAAGCGGGAUGUCCUUGGGGGUCACGUGUCGGAGUUGGCUUCUUCACCUUCGGAUGUGAUUAGUGAAGAAAAAUUGGCGGUCGAAGAGCAAACCAAGGGAGGACAAUCCCCACCUGCGUUGUCGGCGGAGAUGAUGGAGACAGAGGAUCGUGGUGACAAGUCUGUAGCUGGUGAACUGCGCGAGAUUGGAACGACGGACGUUUGCAAAGAAGAAACUGCAGAGAAGCAGCCGAAUGUUGCUCGUGAAUUUGAUCUCGAAUCGCCGAAGGAGGCCGAAGAAAAGGAAGGAAGCGGCAAGAAGGGUGAAGCAGGAGAGUCUGAAGCACAUGGGCAGGGAGGAGAGAUUAGUGACGAGGAGGAUUGGGAAGGGAUCGAGAGAAGCGAAGUGUCUAAGCAAUUCAGUGUUGCAGAGAGGUUCAUUGCUUCUCCCAACGGCAACGAGAUGUUAUCCAAGUUGGAAAACGAUGUUCAAAUGCAACUGUACGGGCUGCAGAAGGCGGCCACAGAAGGGCCCUGCUAUGAGUCUUCGCCCUCGGCACUGAAGCCGGGUGCUCGUGCAAAGUGGAAUGCUUGGCAAAAGGUGGGGAGCAUAAGUCCGGAGAUGGCAAUGGAGCAGUAUAUUGCACUUCUUUCUGAAAGCAUUCCCGAGUGGAGAGCCUCAGUAUCACUGGGGAAUCAAGACUAUGAUGGAAUGGUAGCACCUGUACUGGCAACUCCAGAUUCAAGCUCAUCUACAGGUCACAACACAAUCUUAGAUGCCCAAAGAAAGGUAAACGUUCACGCAUGCAAUGUUGGAGGCACUGAUUCUCCUGUGUUAAAGUUCACAGAAAGGAGCAGUCAUAUGGAUUCACCUGGCCAGUUGAUCUUGAGAUAUACGAGAUCUUAGAUAGAUAACAACUUUAAAGUUUUACUGCACAGCAAUUAGCCAGUUAUGGCAUCGAGCAUGCAGUAGAUUCUUCUUCAGUCUAAUCAUUCCCAGCCUUGAGGACACUGCCUGGUUUCUGGACUCUCUGAGGCCCUGGAGUAUUCGUCAAGGAUAACAACCCAUGCCUAUCUGCAUGGUAUGUCAAAGUGUUGAUAAUUGUGGUAUUGUGUACAUGGUCUAGUUUGUUCCAAGUUAAUAACCUCCAGGACAUAAUUCUGGAAGCAACUGAUUGGUGUUAUGCAUGUGAUUAUGAAUAUACGUGCUCUCUUUCUCAGGAAAAUCAGAUUUAUUGAUUA